AGAUUGAACGCUGGCGGCAUGCCUUACACAUGCAAGUCGAACGGUAGAGUAGCAAUACUUGAGAGUGGCGAACGGGUGAGUAAUAUAUCGGAACGUGCCCAGUCGUGGGGGAUAACGUAGAGAAAUUUACGCUAAUACCGCAUACGAUCUAAGGAUGAAAGCGGGGGACCGUAAGGCCUCGCGCGAUUGGAGCGGCUGAUAUCAGAUUAGGUUGUUGGUGAGGUAAAAGCUCACCAAGCCGACGAUCUGUAGCUGGUUUGAGAGAACGACCAGCCACACUGGGACUGAGACACGGCCCAGACUCCUACGGGAGGCAGCAGUGGGGAAUUUGGACAAUGGGCGAAAGCCUAGAUCCAGCAAUGGCCGACGUCGCAGGAAGAAGGCCGUUCGGGUUAGUAAACUGCUUUUAGUACGGAAACGAACGGUCUGUCUUUAAUACAAGUGGUACUAAGUAGAACGGUACCGUAAGGAAUAAGCUAACCGGCUAACUACGUCGACCAGACACG
Molecule: ribosomal RNA, 506 nt
Filed under: uncultured soil bacterium
Lineage: Bacteria
Description: bacterial SSU rRNA
Rfam family: Bacterial small subunit ribosomal RNA
Source: RNAcentral